Molecule: long non-coding RNA, 382 nt
Filed under: Vitis vinifera (wine grape)
Lineage: Eukaryota; Viridiplantae; Streptophyta; Magnoliopsida; Vitales; Vitaceae
Description: long non-coding RNA (VVIN_LNC008100)
Source: RNAcentral
UUUUUCGAAACCUCUCUUCAACACUAUCCCAUACCACCUCUGAUUUGAAGGGUGCCCCCAAAGGCAGCCCCAAAUAACAGGAAGGCAAACCACCCACUUUACAGCCCAACUCCAAAGCCAAAUCCUCUAUAUCAUUCACCCUCCCCACCGGAAUAAACUCACUCUUCUCCAAGUUAAUUUUCAACCCUGAGCAAGCCUCAAACCACAUGAGAAGCCAGCUUAGAUGCGUCAACUGAUCCUGAGACUCCUCACAAAACACCAAGGUGUCAUCCGCAAAAAGCAAGUGAGAUAUUAGAAUCCCCUCUCCACCCCUGCCUCUUACCCUCCACCCUGAUAAAAAACCCCCACUAAUGGCCCUUCUCAAUAAACAACUAAACACCUC